Non-coding RNA from Salmo salar (Atlantic salmon), 1242 nucleotides. The record is from RefSeq and is a predicted model, not a curated record. Lineage: Eukaryota; Metazoa; Chordata; Actinopteri; Salmoniformes; Salmonidae.
GUCAGACACAGGACCGUACGCAAAGUUCUGUUGUACAAAUAAAAACCCUCCCCCACUGGCGAGUUUCUUGAAAGAAGUUGACCCGUCGUGCACAUUCAGCUGCGCAGCAAAAGUGCAUGCGUGUGCCAUCGCAGAGGAUAUGCGCUGUUUUAACGCAAUCGAACACUAUCCAUGUUGCCUUCCUUGACAACGGGAGGCAUGGUGGACUCAAACUCCUCUGUUCGCAUCUCCGGAUUUGUUCUUGGUUCAUUAAUGUUUCAGCACUUUUAACAGUGAUUCUGAUGUGGAAGGUCUCAUUCUUGGGGAGAGCAAAGCUGAAGAGAGAAGCAACAUCACUGAUUCUCAAAUCAACAACAUACAGUUUGAGCAUACAAUAAACAUUCAGAAACAUAUAUCCUGUCGCAAGCUCAAUAGGAGAAUGUGAUUGGUUGGUAUAAACAGCGGAGAAACACAGAUCAACAAAUGACCUUCAGAAAGCAAGUAGUCCAUGAGAACCUGAAGAGAGCAGUCUCCAAUCAGGAGCUGAUCUUUCUGCUACUGACACCCAGUGAGGUCACAUCAUCAGGCUCCACUCACACACUGGAGUAUGCGGUCUACAGAUCACAUUGCAGGUCUGAACUCUUGAGUUGCACUGUCUGAGUAUUCAAUACCGCAGCGUUCCUGUCCGGGUCAGCAACCUGGGUUUGUUGGAACAGCAGGACUACUGGAGACUGUCUGCAUCUUGUUCAUCAGUCAACUACAACCGUGCUGUUUGGAAACACAGAUAUAGACUAUUCUCCUUAGAUGGAUCCCUGCAGGAGGUGGAUGAGAUUAAUGAAAUGAACAACUCCUUGCAAGUCGAACUGAAGAUGGCAUGUCAGAAAGUGGAGGAGAGUGAGCGAUUGGUCGAGGAGCUGCUUGCAGAUGUUUCGUCUGUAAGGAGGACUGUCAGUGAGAGGAAACGAGUAGAAAAAAACAGAUGGAGACUCCACUCCAGCCUAGUCUCAGGAGAAUGUACUGCUCUGAGGCCAUUAAGACACUGUUCCCUGGGGCAGCUCUACUCCAAACACAGGCUCUAACCUUCCAGGGGUUCCCUGUGCCUGAAUUCUGCUGCAACACUGACCAUGGCAUAGACAUCACCACAACACUGCCUUUGAUCCUGACUCAUACGGUCCCCAAAGCCAGGAAGGGGAGGCUGGUUAGAAGUGGAGGGACGUCCUGGAGAAAACGUCCCCUAUGUGAAUCAUCUGAUGCGACCAAGAG